This 492-nucleotide ribosomal RNA is filed under the name uncultured bacterium. RNAcentral describes it as "partial 16S ribosomal RNA". It matches the Rfam family "Bacterial small subunit ribosomal RNA", at positions 29 to 507 of the family's 1533-position model. The record is from RNAcentral.
AGUGAACGCUGGCGAUAGGCCUAACACAUGCAAGUCGAACGGCAGCACAGUAAGAGCUUGCUCUUACGGGUGGCGAGUGGCGGGCGGGUGAGGAAUACAUCGGACUCUACUUUUUCGUGGGGGAUAACGUAGGGAAACUUACGCUAAUACCGCAUACGACCUACGGGUGAAAGCAGGGGAUCUUCGGACCUUGGGCGAUUGAAUGAGCCGAUGUCGGAUUAGUUAGUUGGCGGGGUAAAGGCCCACCAAGGCGACGAUACGUAGCUGGUCUGGGGGGAUGGUCAGCCACACUGGAACUGAGACACGGUCCAGACUCCUACGGGAGGCAGCAGUGGGGAAUAUUGGACAAUGGGCGCAAGCCUGAUCCAGCCAUACCGCGUGGGUGAAGAAGGCCUUCCGGUUGUAAAGCCCUUUUGUUGGGAAAGAAAAGCAGCAGGUUAAUACCCCGCUGUUCUGACGGUACCCAAAGAAUAAGCACCGGCUAACUUCGUG